UUUGUGUCCAUAUGGAUAAGGUUUUCUGUCGGAGUCUUUUAUUGGUCUGUGUGACGUCAUUUAUUGUGUUUUAUCCUGAGGCGGAGCAGAAGGGGCGGGACCAGGAUUCGCCAGGCCCAGCGCGUCCUCGGUAUAUAAGCAGCCUGCUUCAGCGCGUGAGGGAAGGAGAGAGGAGCUGCAGCUGGCUUGGAGCUGAGUCGGCUUCACCACCCAGCUCUGCCCUACGGAGGUGGCUCUUCCCUCACCUGCCUGCCCACCCCGUCUUUGUUUGGGUUUUGUUUUGUUUGAUCUUUCUUUUCUUUUGUAGGGCUUUUCCGCUUACCAGCGGCUGCAGAGAUGACACCGACCACAGGGGGGCCACCCGCUUGUCGCUGUUUAUUUUUUUGUGUUGUUUAAUAAAGAGCGUAUUUCUUGUAUUGAAGGCCGUGUCUCCCUGGCUUUUGUUACGGCUCACGAGCCGUAACAUGGCUAGACAAUCCUAUGACAAUCCUAUGACAUUUUUACAUUGAUCAAUAGUUUAAAACAGAUUUGGUGAGUUCUGAAAAUAACUUCUUGAUAGCUGAGCUGUUUUAUGUUUUUUUUCCCUAUAAUGUUAUACAAAGAAGCCAUAAGCUUGAGGUGUUAUCUUAAAAUACUUUUCCAGAUGUGUGUCAGUUUAAUUUUAUGUUGUUUACGUGAAUAUCUGAUUUGAAAUCAAGAGAAAUAGACAGGAAAUAGAAAGUUGGGGAACCAUUUUGUUUAGAAAUUAGAUCAACUCUUGCAAAUGUACAGCAUCUUUAAGGAAAGCAAACAUAUAGGAUACAAUUUUAUGCUUUACAAUAAAGUAUAUCCAUUGCAAAAUAUCCCUAAUUUGCAUGUCAUGACCACUGGGGUUCAAGUAUAACCAGUCUAUCAAGUUCCUUUAAUGGAGUGUGACACAUCUAUCAUUCAUUCUUUCUGUUUGCUGACAUUAACUCAGUGUUUUUACUGGCUGUCUAUAACACAUCACUCAGAUGUUGACGCCACCUCCUGUGCUCUCUGGUGCCCGUUCUAGGUGUUCCAAUCCUUUGCAUUUUUGUGUACUCUCCCGGUUAGCGUUUUUUUAAAAUUACACCGAAAACAGUUUUGAUGCUAAGUGAUCUCAGUGAGUGGACUUAUAUCAAAACUAUUCUUGUCAGUAACUUAUGUUUAACUUGAUGUGUGGUCUUUUUUAAUUAUGGUCCUGUCUUAAAAUUUAAGUUCCAACAAGUAAGCCAAAUAAAUUGCAAAAUAAGUAAUGUUUUUUUAACGUACUGUUUAUUUUUUGUUUUUUGUUUCAUUUUGUCUUCUGUGGAAGCUUCAAGUUUCUCAGAUGGUGUCAUUGCUGCUAUAGUUAUUGCAUCCUUGAUAGCUACUGCUCUAGUAGCUGCUGGAGGCUUCUUUAUUCGUAAGAGCGUAGCAUGUUUAUGAGGACAUGCCAGACUUGUAUGAUAGGAGGAUAUAAAAUCUCCAGUUUUUAUUCCCUAAAUGAUCAUCAAAAAGUAAGAAAAUGAGGUAGCAUAUAACCAUCUGGAAAAGGAGUAAAAUAAUGAAUAUUAGUACUGCACAUUUGUUUGACAAGGCUGUUUUAUAUAGUACUUUUAUUUUAGAUGUUUACAUUUAUUUCAAUAAACUACAUUGCAAGUUGCACAGUCUCAUUAGUAGAAAUGUUUAGCUCAGAAAUAGAAUUUAUAGUCUUUAAAGCUUUGGUCAGGGUUUUAUUGUCUGCACUUUGUAACACAUUUUCAGAUAUUUUUGUUUGAGGGCUCAAACUCAUCUGUCAAACUGGGUUUUUAUAAAAUUCAUGUUAUUUUUUUCUAAUCUAAUUUUAUUGUUAUUGAAACAUACUGCAGUCACUAUGUUUCUUCCUCUGUUUAAGUGUAAUUAAAUUAGAAAAUAUGUUAAUUUGUGUUACUUUGACAAAAUGAGGAGAGGAGGAUGAUUGACUUUGUUGCCAAUUUGUUAGCUUAAAAUAACUUUGCAAAUUUAUAUUGUAACUUUUUAAGUGGAGACAGCAAUGAUUUGAAUUAUUGAUAGAAGCUAAUUAAUGAGAAGCAAUAAAAGUUGCUAAUAUUUAGUUUUAUGUACUUAAGUAAUAGCAGACAUGGUUUUUGUUCUUUUUGUAUGUUCUGUUUUGUUGUUUAUUAAAAUUGAUGCACGUCCAUUUAUGAAUCCAUGACACUUGAGCUUUAUCUUGUGCGAAAAACUAGAAAAAAUAUGUUGUAAUUUGUAAGUCUAAAAACUCACAAAUUCUGGUAACUGGAUUUUCAAAUAAAUGUGUUAUCUUAAUCACAUAACAUCAUGCUGAACAUGUCUGACAUUUGUUUAUUUACCAAAUAAAUCCAUAUGUCCUUUAUUUUCUUCAUAGCACUGAUGUCGCUGUAAUAUUAGGGUAAUGUGUUUGUUUUUAAUUGAUUAUCUACUUUGUAAAAAUAAUUUAUUUUCCAAUGUGAACUCAUUCAAGACCAAUCACAGCUGUUAAGCAAACAUUAACAACUUUACUUUCAAACUUUGUUGGAAACCAUUCAUUAAACGCUCCAUCACUAUA
Poecilia reticulata (guppy) is the source of this 2545-nucleotide non-coding RNA. The record is from RefSeq and is a predicted model, not a curated record. NCBI's taxonomy places the organism in Eukaryota, Metazoa, Chordata, Actinopteri, Cyprinodontiformes, Poeciliidae.